This is a long non-coding RNA of Drosophila teissieri, 567 nucleotides long. RefSeq lists it as uncharacterized. The transcript is spliced from 2 exons. Lineage: Eukaryota; Metazoa; Arthropoda; Insecta; Diptera; Drosophilidae. The record is from RefSeq and is a predicted model, not a curated record.
CCCACCUGUUGACUGCCUCAUACAUUGGAUCGGAAUAUUGGGUUCCUGCAUCUCCGCUGUACAGAAAGUCAAAGGGAUCGUAUUCCGCAUAGUAGGAAGUGCUGUCGGAGGCGCUGUCGUUGCCUGCAAGUAUUAUGCAAAUAUGCUCGAGAGCCGAGGCCUACUACUGCGAGAAUCCGGGCUGUGAUGGGCCCGUGUGGCCAAAAAUAAAUGAGACGGCCCCUAAAGUCGCAGCAGUGCGAUGUGGAUCGGUUGGACUAGCACCACUGGCAAUGCGAGACCGCUUCGCAAAUCUACGCUAACAAAUCCGUUGCGAGUGCCAUCGCUAAAAGCUAAUUGUGAUUGCUGUCAUUCGUCGCCCACGCUGACCCAGUACAGUGGAACCAAUACCAUUCGAUAUUUGUUUAAGGAGAUGGUCGCAUACAUCAAAAGUACAAAAAAAUAUGACAACAAGAACCCAUGAAAUACUUUUACUCUUAAUCAUGGCUUGCUUUAUAUUUUAAUUUUAAUUUUAAAUCUUCAAUAAGCAGAACAAAUACCCACUGUACCUAAGUCUGUAUUUUUAAA